This 331-nucleotide unclassified non-coding RNA is filed under the name soil metagenome. RNAcentral's name for it is "partial contains 5.8S ribosomal RNA, internal transcribed spacer 2, and large subunit ribosomal RNA". The stretch from base 1 to 120 matches the Rfam family "5.8S ribosomal RNA", at positions 35 to 154 of the family's 154-position model. The record is from RNAcentral.
GAUGAAGAACGCAGCGAAAUGCGAUAAGUAAUGUGAAUUGCAGAAUUCAGUGAAUCAUCGAAUCUUUGAACGCACAUUGCGCCCCCUGGUAUUCCGGGGGGCAUGCCUGUUCGAGCGUCAUUUCACCACUCAAGCCUCGCUUGGUAUUGGGCGACGCGGUCCGCCCGCGCCUCAAAUCGACCGGCUGGGUCUUCCGUCCCCUCAGCGUUGUGGAAACUAUUCGCUAAAGGGUGCCGCGGGAGGUCACGCCGCAAAACAACCCCAUUUCUAAGGUUGACCUCGGAUCAGGUAGGGAUACCCGCUGAACUUAAGCAUAUCAAUAAGCGGAGGA